GAUGAACGCUGGCGGCGUGCCUAAUACAUGCAAGUCGAGCGAACGGACGAGAAGCUUGCUUUUCUGAUGUUAGCGGCGGACGGGUGAGUAACACGUGGAUAACCUACCUAUAAGACUGGGAUAACUUCGGGAAACCGGAGCUAAUACCGGAUAAUAUUUUGAACCGCAUGGUUCAAAAGUGAAAGACGGUCUUGCUGUCGCUUAUAGAUGGAUCCGCGCUGCAUUAGCUAGUUGGUAAGGUAACGGCUUACCAAGGCAACGAUGCAUAGCCGACCUGAGAGGGUGAUCGGCCACACUGGAACUGAGACACGGUCCAGAUUCCUACGGGAGGCAGCAGUAGGGAAUCUUCCGCAAUGGGCGAAAGCCUGACGGAGCAACGCCGCGUGAGUGAUGAAGGUCUUCGGAUCGUAAAACUCUGUUAUUAGGGAAGAACAUAUGUGUAAGUAACUGUGCACAUCUUGACGGUACCUAAUCAGAAAGCCACGGCUAACUACGUG
Molecule: ribosomal RNA, 497 nt
Filed under: uncultured bacterium
Lineage: Bacteria
Description: partial 16S ribosomal RNA
Rfam family: Bacterial small subunit ribosomal RNA
Source: RNAcentral